GAUGAACGCUGGCGGCGUGCUUAACACAUGCAAGUCGAACGGAAGGGCUCCUGCUUGCAGGGGUACUCGAGUGGCGAACGGGUGAGUAACACGUAGGUGAUCUGCCCUGCACUUCGGGAUAAGCCUGGGAAACUGGGUCUAAUACCGGAUAGGACCACAUUUUGGAGGGUGUGGUGGAAAGUUUUUCGGUGUGGGCUGAGCUCGCGGCCUAUCAGCUUGUUGGUGGGGUAAUGGCCUACCAAGGCGUCGACGGGUAGCCGGCCUGAGAGGGUGUACGGCCACAUUGGGACUGAGAUACGGCCCAGACUCCUACGGGAGGCAGCAGUGGGGAAUAUUGCACAAUGGGCGCAAGCCUGAUGCAGCGACGCCGCGUGGGGGAUGACGGCCUUCGGGUUGUAAACUCCUUUCGCUAGGGACGAAGCGCAAGUGACGGUACCUGGAGAAGAAGCACCGGCUAACUACGUG
Molecule: ribosomal RNA, 465 nt
Filed under: uncultured bacterium
Lineage: Bacteria
Description: partial 16S ribosomal RNA
Rfam family: Bacterial small subunit ribosomal RNA
Source: RNAcentral